Molecule: ribosomal RNA, 457 nt
Filed under: uncultured Leptolinea sp.
Lineage: Bacteria; Bacillati; Chloroflexota; Anaerolineae; Anaerolineales; Anaerolineaceae
Description: bacterial SSU rRNA
Rfam family: Bacterial small subunit ribosomal RNA
Source: RNAcentral
GACGGGCCCCGCACAAGCAGCGGAGCGUGUGGUUUAAUUCGAUGUUACACGAAGAACCUUUACCAGGGUUUGACAUGCAAGUGGUAGGAAGCCGAAAGGUGACCGACCCUUCGGGGAGCUUGCACAGGUGCUGCAUGGCUGUCGUCAGCUCGUGUCGUGAGAUGUUCGGUUAAGUCCGCUAACGAGCGCAACCCUCGCUGUGUGUUAUAUGUGCCACACGGGACUGCCGGUCUUAAGCCGGAGGAAGGUGGGGAUGAUGUCAAGUCAGCAUGGCCUUUAUAUCCUGGGCUACACACACGCUACAAUGGCCAACACAAUAGGUUGCUAAGCCGCGAGGUGGCGCCAAUCCAUAAAGUUGGUCUCAGUUCAGAUUGUAGGCUGCAACCCGCCUGCAUGAAGAUGGAGUUGCUAGUAACCGCAGGUCAGCUAUACUGCGGUGAAUAUGUCCCUGCUCCUU